This 45-nucleotide non-coding RNA is filed under the name Schistosoma mansoni. Lineage: Eukaryota; Metazoa; Platyhelminthes; Trematoda; Strigeidida; Schistosomatidae. The record is from RNAcentral.
AUCCAGUUGACAAGUCCCAAAUGGGACGAAACGCGCGUCCGUGAU